GGUUAAGCGACUAAGCGUACACGGUGGAUGCCCUGGCAGUCAGAGGCGAUGAAGGGCGUGCUAAUCUGCGAUAAGCGCCGGUAAGGUGAUAUGAACCGUUAUAACCGGCGAUACCCGAAUGGGGAAACCCAGUGUGACUCGUCACACUAUCAUUAACUGAAUCCAUAGGUUAAUGAGGCGAACCGGGGGAACUGAAACAUCUAAGUACCCCGAGGAAAAGAAAUCAACCGAGAUUCCCCCAGUAGCGGCGAGCGAACGGGGAGGAGCCCAGAGCCUGAAUCAGCAUGUGUGUUAGUGGAAGCGUCUGGAAAGGCGCGCGAUACAGGGUGACAGCCCCGUACACAAAAGCGCAUGUGCUGUGAGCUCGAUGAGUAGGGCGGGACACGUGGUAUCCUGUCUGAAUAUGGGGGGACCAUCCUCCAAGGCUAAAUACUCCUGACUGACCGAUAGUGAACCAGUACCGUGAGGGAAAGGCGAAAAGAACCCCGGCGAGGGGAGUGAAAAAGAACCUGAAACCGUGUACGUACAAGCAGUGGGAGCCCCACCACCAAAGCAUUCUCUGGUGUUGAAGGCCCUGCAAAGCAGCAUCGCGGUGGCGGAGCGUCGUUUGCGACGCCCAACACACAAAACAAGCGGUGAAUGCUUUGGGGUGGGGUGACUGCGUACCUUUUGUAUAAUGGGUCAGCGACUUAUAUUCUGUAGCAAGGUUAACCGAAUAGGGGAGCCGGAGGGAAACCGAGUCUUAAUUGGGCGUUAAGUUGCAGGGUAUAGACCCGAAACCCGGUGAUCUAGCCAUGGGCAGGUUGAAGGUUGGGUAACACUAACUGGAGGACCGAACCGACUAAUGUUGAAAAAUUAGCGGAUGACCUGUGGCUGGGGGUGAAAGGCCAAUCAAACCGGGAGAUAGCUGGUUCUCCCCGAAAGCUAUUUAGGUAGCGCCUCGUGAAUUCAUCUCCGGGGGUAGAGCACUGUUUCGGCUAGGGGGCCAUCCCGGCUUACCAACCCGAUGCAAACUGCGAAUACCGGAGAAUGUUAUCACGGGAGACACACGGCGGGUGCUAACGUCCGUCGUGAAGAGGGAAACAACCCAGACCGCCAGCUAAGGUCCCAAAGUCAUGGUUAAGUGGGAAACGAUGUGGGAAGGCCCAGACAGCCAGGAUGUUGGCUUAGAAGCAGCCAUCAUUUAAAGAAAGCGUAAUAGCUCACUGGUCGAGUCGGCCUGCGCGGAAGAUGUAACGGGGCUAAACCAUGCACCGAAGCUGCGGCAGCGACGCUGAUGCGUUGUUGGGUAGGGGAGCGUUCUGUAAGCCUGUGAAGGUGUGUCGUGAGGCAUGCUGGAGGUAUCAGAAGUGCGAAUGCUGACAUAAGUAACGAUAAAGCGGGUGAAAAGCCCGCUCGCCGGAAGACCAAGGGUUCCUGUCCAACGUUAAUCGGGGCAGGGUGAGUCGACCCCUAAGGCGAGGCCGAAAGGCGUAGUCGAUGGGAAACGGGUUAAUAUUCCCGUACUUGGUGUUACUGCGAAGGGGGGACGGAGAAGGCUAUGUUGGCCGGGCGACGGUUGUCCCGGUUUAAGCGUGUAGGUGUGUGUUCCAGGUAAAUCCGGUUCACUUUAACACUGAGGCGUGACGACGAGGCACUACGGUGCUGAAGCAACAAAUGCCCUGCUUCCAGGAAAAGCCUCUAAGCAUCAGGUAACACGAAAUCGUACCCCAAACCGACACAGGUGGUCAGGUAGAGAAUACCAAGGCGCUUGAGAGAACUCGGGUGAAGGAACUAGGCAAAAUGGUGCCGUAACUUCGGGAGAAGGCACGCUGACACGUAGGUGAAGUGAUUUACUCAUGGAGCUGAAGUCAGUCGAAGAUACCAGCUGGCUGCAACUGUUUAUUAAAAACACAGCACUGUGCAAACACGAAAGUGGACGUAUACGGUGUGACGCCUGCCCGGUGCCGGAAGGUUAAUUGAUGGGGUCAGCGUAAGCGAAGCUCCUGAUCGAAGCCCCGGUAAACGGCGGCCGUAACUAUAACGGUCCUAAGGUAGCGAAAUUCCUUGUCGGGUAAGUUCCGACCUGCACGAAUGGCGUAAUGAUGGCCAGGCUGUCUCCACCCGAGACUCAGUGAAAUUGAACUCGCUGUGAAGAUGCAGUGUACCCGCGGCAAGACGGAAAGACCCCGUGAACCUUUACUAUAGCUUGACACUGAACAUUGAGCCUUGAUGUGUAGGAUAGGUGGGAGGCUUUGAAGUGUGGACGCCAGUCUGCAUGGAGCCGACCUUGAAAUACCACCCUUUAAUGUUUGAUGUUCUAACGUGGACCCGUAAUCCGGGUUGCGGACAGUGUCUGGUGGGUAGUUUGACUGGGGCGGUCUCCUCCUAAAGAGUAACGGAGGAGCACGAAGGUUGGCUAAUCCUGGUCGGACAUCAGGAGGUUAGUGCAAUGGCAUAAGCCAGCUUGACUGCGAGCGUGACGGCGCGAGCAGGUGCGAAAGCAGGUCAUAGUGAUCCGGUGGUUCUGAAUGGAAGGGCCAUCGCUCAACGGAUAAAAGGUACUCCGGGGAUAACAGGCUGAUACCGCCCAAGAGUUCAUAUCGACGGCGGUGUUUGGCACCUCGAUGUCGGCUCAUCACAUCCUGGGGCUGAAGUAGGUCCCAAGGGUAUGGCUGUUCGCCAUUUAAAGUGGUACGCGAGCUGGGUUUAGAACGUCGUGAGACAGUUCGGUCCCUAUCUGCCGUGGGCGCUGGAGAACUGAGGGGGGCUGCUCCUAGUACGAGAGGACCGGAGUGGACGCAUCACUGGUGUUCGGGUUGUCAUGCCAAUGGCACUGCCCGGUAGCUAAAUGCGGAAGAGAUAAGUGCUGAAAGCAUCUAAGCACGAAACUUGCCCCGAGAUGAGUUCUCCCUGAGACUUUAGGUCUCCUGAAGGAACGUUGAAGACGACGACGUUGAUAGGCCGGGUGUGUAAGCGCAGCGAUGCGUUGAGCUAACCGGUACUAAUGAACCGUGAGGCUUAACCUU
Molecule: ribosomal RNA, 3008 nt
Filed under: Salmonella enterica
Lineage: Bacteria; Pseudomonadati; Pseudomonadota; Gammaproteobacteria; Enterobacterales; Enterobacteriaceae
Also listed under: 5 other names
Description: 23S ribosomal RNA
Rfam family: Bacterial large subunit ribosomal RNA
Source: RNAcentral